AUAUUGUCUCUAUUGGACACUAUAAUAAAUUAGGCCACAGUUUUAUGUGUCAGUUAAGUGUUUAAGGUUUUUUAUGUUUUUUUUUGCUGCCUAAAAUAGAAAUGCCAUUGGUAAACAUUGCCUUCAAUCAUUUUGGCUGACGGGUAACCAAAGACAUUGGUGGUAGAUUGGGGCUCUUCUUUAUUUCAUAACUCAGAUAUUUGCAAACUUUGCUUUAGUUUCAUGAUUAUGGUUGCUGGUUGGUAUUGAUGAAGAAAGUGGAUAGGUUUUAUGCUAGAUCUUGUCAUUAGUUGGCUUCUUGGUAUGGGCAAAAGGAAUAAAAACUUUGAAUAAUAUUGCUUUCUUACCUUUUUGAGUGCCUGGAUAAUGUGGUAGCAUUUAAUUUGUUGGACAAUUUGGUGAAUCUGUUGAUACACGCAAUUUCUUUUAUUUAUUUAUUAUUUUAGUGUAUUGGUGAUAUUAGUAGCUGUACAACCAACAUCAGAGGUUGAUGAGUGUUACCAGAAAAUGUUGAUACCUAGCGAAUUACCUUUUUGGAACGCACAUUCCGAAAUAUGGUACACAUUCUUUCCAAAACGUUAAAUUUCAUGAUCCAAAACAAUCCCAUAAGUUUUUUCCAAUCUAUUUCAGGGUUUCCUUCGGAGUAAAAAAAAACAAGCCUAAAUUACACUCAUCUCCUUUGAGGUUUGGAAAAAUACAA
Camellia sinensis is the source of this 700-nucleotide non-coding RNA. The record is from RefSeq and is a predicted model, not a curated record. NCBI's taxonomy places the organism in Eukaryota, Viridiplantae, Streptophyta, Magnoliopsida, Ericales, Theaceae.